RNAcentral lists this ribosomal RNA (263 nucleotides) under uncultured archaeon. Its description in RNAcentral is "partial 16S ribosomal RNA". It matches the Rfam family "Archaeal small subunit ribosomal RNA", at positions 716 to 982 of the family's 1478-position model. The record is from RNAcentral.
ACAGUCACACAUUAGAUACCCCCGUAGUCCUGGCCGUAAACGAUGUGGACUUGGUGUUGGAAUGGCUCCGAGCUGCUCCAGUGCCGAAGGGAAGCUGUUAAGUCCACCGCCUGGGAAGUACGGUCGCAAGACUGAACUUAAAGGAAUUGGCGGGGGAGCACCACAACGCGUGGAGCCUGCGGUUUAAUUGGAUUCAACGCCGGACAUCUCACCAGGGCGACAGCAGAAUGAUGGCCAGGUUGAUGACCUUGCUUGACAAGCUG